Molecule: ribosomal RNA, 357 nt
Filed under: Triticum aestivum (bread wheat)
Lineage: Eukaryota; Viridiplantae; Streptophyta; Magnoliopsida; Poales; Poaceae
Description: partial small subunit ribosomal RNA
Source: RNAcentral
AUGGAGCUGGAGAGCAGCGCAGUGGGCGCGAUCGCGGAGGCUAGCCUCGACCGGGAGAAGCUGCCGGCGGCGCUGCUGCUGUGUGGCGUCCUCGAGGCAGCCGGGGCGCUGUGGCUGCUCGUCUAUCGGGGUCCUGGCGGCGUCUUCCUCCAUGGUGGCAAGGUGGCCUUCUGUUCCUACUACGCCAUUCUCGUUGUCCUGGUGCUCUUUGGGUGCGCGGAGGCGUGGGCUGGCCUCUGGGUGAACCAGCAUCCAUGCGGUCGGCGGGCAGUAGGGAGGACCGUCCUGUGGUGCUCCAUCCUGCCCCUCGUCCUCGUCGCGGGCCUCGGAGGUUUUGCGUCCGUCAUUCCCAAAUAG